ACACAUGCAGUCGAACGAAGUAGCAAUACUUAGUGGCAGACGGGUGAGUAACAUGUAGGUAUCUGCCCUUUGGCCUGGAAUAACACGAGGAAACUUGUGCUAAUACCGGAUAAGUCUUUACGGAGAAAGCUUUAUGCACCAUUGGAUGAGCCUGCACUUGAUUAGUUUGUUGGUGGGGUAAUGGCCUACCAAGACUGUGAUCAAUAGCUGAUUUGAGAGGAUGAUCAGCCACAUUGGGACUGAGACACGGCCCAAACUCCUACGGGAGGCAGCAGUGGGGAAUCUUGCACAAUGGAGGAAACUCUGAUGCAGCGAUGCCGCGUGAGUGAAGAAGGCCCUUGGGUUGUAAAGCUCUUUCGUCGGGGAAGAAAAUGACUGUACCCGAAUAAGAAGGUCCGGCUAACUUCGUGCCAGCAGCCGCGGUAAUACGAAGGGACCUAGCGUAGUUCGGAAUUACUGGGCUUAAAGAGUUCGUAGGUGGUUGAAAUAGUUGGUGGUGAAAUCCCAGAGCUUAACUCUGGAACUGCCAUCAAAACUUUUCAGCUAGAGUAUGAUAGAGGAAAGCAGAAUUUCUAGUGUAGAGGUGAAAUUCGUAGAUAUUAGAAAGAAUACCGAUUGCGAAGGCAGCUUUCUGGAUCAUUACUGACACUGAGGAACGAAAGCAUGGGUAGCGAAGAGGAUUAGAUACCCUCGUAGUCCAUGCCGUAAACGAUGUGUGUUAGACGUUGGAAAUUUAUUUUCAGUGUCGCANGGAAACCGAUAAACACACCGCCUGGGGAGUACGACCGCAAGGUUAAAACUCAAAUGAAUUGACGGGGACCCGCACAAGUAGUGGAGCAUGUGGUUUAAUUCGAAGAUACGCGCAGAACCUUACCAACACUUGACAUGUUCGUCGCGACUCUAGAGAUUAGAGUUUUCGGUUCGGCCGGACGAAACACAGGUGCUGCAUGGCUGUCGUCAGCUCGUGUCGUG
RNAcentral lists this ribosomal RNA (972 nucleotides) under uncultured bacterium. RNAcentral describes it as "bacterial SSU rRNA". It matches the Rfam family "Bacterial small subunit ribosomal RNA", at positions 51 to 1069 of the family's 1533-position model. The record is from RNAcentral.